Molecule: long non-coding RNA, 5684 nt
Filed under: Mytilus galloprovincialis (Mediterranean mussel)
Lineage: Eukaryota; Metazoa; Mollusca; Bivalvia; Mytilida; Mytilidae
Source: RNAcentral
CAUAUCAUCAAUUUUCAUAGUGUUCCACAAAGUCUACUGGGCUAAGGCUGAUGACCGUAACUCGAUUCACGGUCAUCCCAAGAAGGCGGAUGAAAAAUUCGGUCAGUAUCUGUAUUGUCUGUUAAAGUAUUUCUAUAUAAUUUUUAUUACAAAGGAUAUUGGUACGAUAUAAAAAAAUUCACACGGAAAACACAAAUUACUACGGAGAAAUUUGCAUGAAACUGGAAAUUCGAUUUAAAAAAAAACCUAAGAUGACCGUAAUUUAUAAAGGAUGACAGUAACUUUUAAAGGAUGACCGUCAAUUAUUAAAAAAAAUCGGAUUUGAAUUAGUAGCUUGUUUGUAUCAAAUAAUUAAUCAUGUUGGUAUUAAAGUUGUUUAUAAGAGAGUGUUAUCCUAUAGGUAGAAGAAAAUAAGACGUGCUUCAAAUACAGAAAUCCCCAUAUUUGUUUUUUUUUUAUGGUAGAGGAUAUAAUUUUUGAAAUGAACAUACAACAAGACAUGCAUAUGAACAAAUGAUGAAAUCAUGCAACCAAAGCGCGAUUGAAUGAAACCUUGCAAGCAAAAUGAAAAAUGUGGUGCACAUCCUCCUACUACAAGCCAAAAGUUUUUUUUUUAAUUCUGGGAUUCCUUUAAAAAGACAUAUAAUAAAUACACCUUUUUAAAAAUGCCAAUGCAUGUACAUAUUCUAUCGUUUCAGAUACCAUUGCAAAUCUUCAAAAAAAAAGUACAUGUGUUAUCAUUAUACCACCUGCAAAUUUACAUCAUCGAAUGUAGACAGAAUUUUGAUACACACUAUAGACAAUCAUGUUAAAUUUAGAAAGAAAGUUUUGAAUGAAAACGCUGGUCAUUCUGCCUAUUGGUCCGUACAUUUCGGAGUUAAAGUAACAAAACUUAAAGUGAUGGGUAAUUGAUUGCAUCUGUUUAAAAUCAGGAAUUUGAUGUUGAGUGGUUGUCGUCUGUUCAUAAGUGUUUCUUGUUUCUCGUUUUUUUUUUUAUAGAUUAGACCGUUGGUUUUCCCGUUUGAAUGGUUUUACACUAGUAUUUUUUGGGGGGACCUUUAUCGCUGCUGUUCGGUGUGAGUAAAGGCUCCAUGUUGAAGGCCGUACCUUGACCUAUAAUGGUUUACUUUUAUAAAUUAUUACUUGGAUGGAGAGUUGUCUCAUUGGCUUUCUUACCUCACUAGAACACACCCGCACAAUCGCGGGCAUAUACAGCUUGUAAACUGUUAUAGGUUUAAUUUUUGUACAAGAUAUUAUGACUGGAGAAUUUCAUAUAAGGUAUCAAAAGCCCUCUCUCUUUUUUCUAAAGUCCCUUAUGUGUUUCCUUUCUGUUAAAUUCAAUUAUUUUUCGUGUUUCUGGCCUUAUACCACAAUUAUUCUUCCCCUUUGCUACAAUGCAUUUUUGGUUAAAAGUCAAAUUAAAUGAAAAUUUGCACCACUUCAAACAUGAAAUAAAUGAAACUGCUUAUAGACCAUUAUUAUUCUACUUAAAUGUGCUUGUAGGACAAUCCAUCAGUGCCUUUUCUUUAGAGAGCUCUAUUAACAGACCAAGGGUAGGAUUUGAUUCUCGUAUAAAUGACUAUGGCUCAUUUGAGGGGUGGUCUGAGGGGCCCUGAUCCCCAAAUCACGGGAUUAAAAACAUGAAAUCCCACAGUGCGUAUUUUAACCAAAUUCAUAUCCCGACUGUCCGGCUUCAGGUUAAAGUUUUCACUUUCAACAAUAAUUUUUUAUGCCCAAUAUAUGGGAAUUAUGUUUUCUAGUCUGUUCGUCCGUUCGUUCGUUCGUCCGUCCGUCUGUUCCGCUUCAGGUCAAAGUUUUUGUCAAGGUAGUUUAUGAUGAAGUUGAAGUCCAACGAACUCGAAACUUAGUAAAUAUGUUCCCUAUGAUAUAAUUUUAAUGCCAAAUUAGAGAUUUUACCCAAUUUCACGGUCCGCUAAACAUAGUAAAUGAUAGUGCCGAUGUGGCAUCCAUAUACUAUGGACACAUUUUUCCACGUGUUUUACUUAUUUCAAUAUAUAUGCAACUGGUAUGACCCUUUAGAUAGUAAAUACUUCAGAAAAAAGUAGACAAAAUACAGAGAGUCUCACGGUAUAUUAUUGUAGUAUAAUCGUAGUUUACAUGUGGAUAAACCAGAAAACAUAAUUGUCUCUAAGGAGGUAUAAUAGUUGUGGCUCUUGCGAUCUAAAAACCAUGAUAUGGAGAACGCUCUGAUUGGCUUAUUUAUUUUUCAUUUUUGUAAUCUAUCAUACAAUUGGUUGUUCAUGUGCAUGUUUAAAACAGGAAGUCUUAUCUAUGACUAAAAGUAAGUCUGAUAACGGAAAUAAUAUCUGAACACCUAUUUUGUCGUUUUUCUCCCAAAAUGGCUCAAUCUGAAAAAUCAUAAGAAUUGAUGACAAAUGCGCGCGGUUAUGCAUGUUCCCGAAAGAACACAGACGCAUGAUGAUUAAUUUAGUGUGGAAGAAGAGAAGCGACACACAAAAUGAGGUCUUCUCCUUUAAUUCAUACCACAUAUUCCUAUAUCUAAUUAGGAGAUGCUAAAAGCCAAAUAUAAAUUUUGGAAGAACAAACUGUCAUUCAAAAGAUGUUAUCCCCUUUGAAAGUCAGUUACGAUUAUGUGGAAGGAGGGCGUCAAAGGGAAUUAAACAGUGAACUUAAUAAACUGUUGCCAAAUAUUGAAGCAAAACCUAAAGAGAUAGGGAGAUACAAAGACUUCAUUUCCGUAUUGAAACCCAUAUCUAACGGAAUAUCAACUGAAAUAUUGCUUUUCGUUAUAUCACUGUCAAUUUGUAUUACACAUUUAACGUCGUUAUCAAUACAUAUUCCAUUGUUCACGAGAAAUAUGCAAUCUACUAUCAUUGUCAUGAUACGGCAAAUAGUUAAAUAAAGGAAUUGAUAAAAUAUAUUUAUAUCCGCUUGCCGAGCCCGUAUUAAGACAAACUCAAUAAAAAGCUAUGAAUACAAUCACGGAUGUGUUUUAGACUUGACGGCUAUCCUUUAUAAAUUACAGUCAUCCUUUACGGUCAUCUUUUUACCAAUCACGGUCAUCCUUGUUAUAUGUUACGGUCAUCUUGAAAAUAUUUUGAUGAUGAUUUACGGUCAUCUAAGCGAUUUUUUCAAAUCGAAUUUCCCGUUUCAUGCACAUUUCUCGGUAGUAAUUGGUGAUUUCCGUGUGAAUCUUUUAUAAAUUUACAUCUUAUCAAUGUAUGCUUUGUAAAGAAAAUGAUAUAGAAACACUUUAACAGACAAUACAGAAACUGACCUAAUUUUUCAUCAUAAUAUAACAAUGGCCAUUUUUCUGACUUGGUACAGGGCAUUUUAAGAAAAAAUAUAACAUUAAAGUUGUCGAGUACACAUAUUGGCUCUUGUCACGUGAAUAAGAUUAACGGUACCAAUUUUCUUGCACCAGAUGCGCAUUUCGACAAUACAUGUCUCUUCAGUGAUGCUCGUUGCCAAAUUAUUUGAAAUCCAAAGCUUAUAUAAAAGAUGAAGAGCUAUAAUCCAAAAGGUCCAAAAAGUAUAGCCAAAUCCGUGAAAGGAAUCAAGCUUUGCACACGAGGAGAUACAUCCGUUAAUUUAUAAUAAUUUCUAUCAUUUUUGUUACAGCAAAUUUUAAUAACAAACAAAUCCGUAUUGUUUCUAUUUUCAUGCCAGUACGGAGAGUACUGGCGAAUAUGGCUACUGGGCUGGUGAUACCCUCUGAACUUAUAUAUACAAAAUUAUUAUCUUUUGUGACUUUAAAUUUCUGUCUGUUGUAAAUACACAAACCAGACCUUUGUUUGUUUCGUUUUUCCAUUCCAGUCCUCUUUAAAGGUAUACGGUAUUCGUUGUCUCUUUGUUGAAGGUCAUACUGUGAUUUAUGGCCCUCUAAGAAUAAAUCUAAGAAGGGCGCAUACAACUAUUAAUCACCGGAACAUGAUUAAGCUGUGUAGUAUGAACUUUGUUUAUCAAUAUUCGUUACAAUUUAUUUUGAGAUAUUUAAAAUGUGAUUUUUUUUCUAAAUAGUGGAAACUAUGUGAACUGAAUAUUUUGUUAAUAGUGAACAAAAAGGUAAAACAUGAUAUACAGAGAAAAACGUGAUCAGUAUGCUAGAGUUUCUUGUUGACAACAUAUUUGUUGAAUUUUGAGGUAGACUUUUUCAACAAACUGUAGACAUUCCUAUGGGAACGAAAUGCCUCUCCUUUCUGACCUGUACUAGUUUUCAUAUGAAUCGGAGUUCCUUCAGACACUUGUCAAAAACAAGAAUAUGAAAGGAGCCAGGUCAAAUAAUUUCACAUUCAAAUAUAUUGAUAAUGAUCUGUAGUUAACAUUAUUGAUUGGGUUCAUUUAAUAUAUCCACAGACCUAGAUACUAAAGAAACAACAAACAUGGCCGCCCUGCCUCAUUUUUAGACUUAUACAUCGAAUUUGACAUUCACGCUCAUCGCAGUAUCAUAAUCUAUGACAAACAAGACGAUUUUAAUUCUGAAAUUAUCAAUUUCCAUUACCUUAGUAGCAAUAUACCAACUUCACCUACAUAUUGGAUAUACAUUUCCCAUUCUAUUUUGUAUUUAAGAGCUUGCUUCUCUUAGUCCGACUUUGUAAAACGUCACCAGUGUCUGAGUAGAAAAAAAAGGUUUAUCGGAAGGUACUCAGUUCUUGUUGAUAAAUAUUCCGUAUCAACUUCACACAAAAUACACGAUGGUCUUGAGAUAAAGAUUAUGCGUACUCACUACCGACGUUGUUAAAAUCUUAAUAACGUGUUAUAGUAUUCUUUUAUUUGUCUUUAUGAACAUACCUUUUACUGUUUGAUCUAUUUUUGGGGAUACCCUUUGACGUGACUCUGUUCUGACAUCCCGUCAUUGUGUUUCUUUAAUACACAUGAUGUGGCUCUGCCAAUUCUUGUCUUGCAUUUUUUCAAAAGUGCUUUGUCUAUAUGCCUUUUUUGUUUUUCUUUAAUACAUAUAACGUAUCUCUGUAUUUACACAUGCCGUCAUUGUGUAAUCGUGCUGUGGUAAUGUUUUGUAUUUUUGUCUUUUUGUUUGCUAAUGUUCGUUUUCUAUAUGCAUUUUUAUGUGACUUUGUUAUAAAUGCGUUUGUUUUAUAGUGAUUUAGAUAAUAAUACAAUCUUGACGGCUGUUCCUGUAUUUUUUUAAAACAUUUUUAACUAUUAUGUCUGUUUCAUUUGGUCACACAUUGAUGUCAAUAUAAUAUAAUAUGAUGCAACUGUCAUAAAAGUGAGAGAUUUAGCUAGCUAUCAAACCAGGUUUAAUCCACGAUUUUCUACAUAAGUAAAUGCAUGUUCAAAGUCAGGAAUAUGACAAUUGUUAUCAUUCGUUUGCUGUGUUUCAGCUUUUGAUUUAGCAAUUUGAUUAGGGACUUUCCGUUUUGAAUGUUCCUCGGAGUUCAGUAUUUUUGUGAUUUUACUUUUUUUUUAAAAGAUAAGAAUUAGAAAAAUAUAUCAUUUUAAGCAGUAUACAAUAUUUUGUUUUCUUUUUCAGAAAUUAAUGUGGUGAUAUAUAUGGAAAACUAAGAAACAAAAUGUCGAAAACCUUGUACAUAACCAUUAUUAGUUAUGUAAUCACUUCAUAUCAUGGUAUAAAUGCUUGCACUACUGCAAACUGCAUUUGUUCAGGAACAACUGUUAUUUGUAACAGGAGACAGUUAACGUCAGUACCAGAUGGUAUAGAAGCAAAUGCUACACGUCUG